GACGAACGCUGGCGGCGUGCUUAAUACAUGCAAGUCGAACGGAAAGGACCUGCUUUUGCGGGGUGCUCGUGUGGCGCACGGGUGUGAAUCACGUGAGUAACAUGCGCUUGACUUUGGGAUAUCUUCAGGAAACUGGGGAUAAUACCGGAUAGGAGCUCCUGCUGCAUGGUGGGGGUUGGAAAGUUUCGGCGGUUGUGGAUGGACUCGCGGCUUUUCAGCUUGUUGGUGGGGUAGUGGCUUACCAAGGCUUCGACGGGUAGCCAGACUGAGAGUGUGACCGGCCACAGUGGGACUGAGGUACGGCCCAGACGGCAACUGGAGGCAUCGGUGGGAAAUAUUGCACAAUAGGCGGAGGCCGGAUGCAGGGACUCCGCGUGCUGGAGGACUGCCUUCGGGUUGUAAACCGCGUUCGACUGUAACGAAGCGUGAGUGACGGUAAUGGAUAAAGAAGCACCGGCUAACUACGUG
Molecule: ribosomal RNA, 468 nt
Filed under: uncultured bacterium
Lineage: Bacteria
Description: partial 16S ribosomal RNA
Rfam family: Bacterial small subunit ribosomal RNA
Source: RNAcentral